UGGGGAAUAUUGCACAAUGGGCGCAAGCCUGAUGCAGCCAUGCCGCGUGUGUGAAGAAGGCCUUCGGGUUGUAAAGCACUUUCAGCGGGGAGGAAGGCGUUAAGGUUAAUAACCUUGGCGAUUGACGUUACCCGCAGAAGAAGCACCGGCUAACUCCGUGCCAGCAGCCGCGGUAAUACGGAGGGUGCAAGCGUUAAUCGGAAUUACUGGGCGUAAAGCGCACGCAGGCGGUCUGUCAAGUCGGAUGUGAAAUCCCCGGGCUCAACCUGGGAACUGCAUUCGAAACUGACAGGCUAGAGUCUUGUAGAGGGGGGUAGAAUUCCAGGUGUAGCGGUGAAAUGCGUAGAGAUCUGGAGGAAUACCGGUGGCGAAGGCGGCCCCCUGGACAAAGACUGACGCUCAGGUGCGAAAGCGUGGGGAGCAAACAGG
This 429-nucleotide ribosomal RNA is filed under the name Chloroflexota bacterium. Its description in RNAcentral is "Chloroflexi bacterium partial 16S ribosomal RNA". It matches the Rfam family "Bacterial small subunit ribosomal RNA", at positions 355 to 776 of the family's 1533-position model. Lineage: Bacteria; Bacillati; Chloroflexota. The record is from RNAcentral.